Molecule: ribosomal RNA, 428 nt
Filed under: uncultured bacterium
Lineage: Bacteria
Description: partial 16S ribosomal RNA
Rfam family: Bacterial small subunit ribosomal RNA
Source: RNAcentral
GUGGGGAAUAUUGGGCGAUGGGCGCAAGCCUGACCCAGCAACGCCGCGUGAAGGAAGAAGGCUUUCGGGUUGUAAACUUCUUUGACAGGGGACGAAACAAAUGACGGUACCCUGAAAACAAGCCACGGCUAACUACGUGCCAGCAGCCGCGGUAAUACGUAGGUGGCAAGCGUUAUCCGGAUUUACUGGGUGUAAAGGGCGUGUAGGCGGGAUUACAAGUCAGAUAUGAAAACUAUGGGAUCAACCCAUAGCCUGCAUUUGAAACUGUAGUUCUUGAGUGAUGGAGAGGCAGACGGAAUUCCUCGUGUAGCGGUGAAAUGCGUAGAUAUGAGGAGGAACACCAGUGGCGAAGGCGGUCUGCUGGACAGCAACUGACGCUGAGGCGCGAAAGCGUGGGGAGCAAACAGGAUUAGAUACCCGAGUAGUCC